UACAGCCGUCUGAAGUCUAACCAGACAUCAGAGGCAUGUUUCAGGGGGUGUCAACAUUCCUUACCCUUUGAAAGAAUUAAAACAAAACCAAAACGGAGGCAGAUUUAUCCCCAAACCAAAGAAGGGUGAACAGGCAUGGGGCUAAAGUGCGAGAGAGGGAGCGAACAGUGGAAACUCAGGGAAGGCUUAACAAUAGAACUUUGUGGGCUGAAGCCUGCUAGAGUGGAACUGGAUUUAUUUGUUGAACUAGGAAGGGACCUCUGGGCUCUUUGAAGGUUAGAGCAAACAAGCAAAACUGGUGGGCAUUUGGUUUACUAUGAGAAGAGCGGUCAAGUCAAGGAGGCUGUUAUUGACAGGCACAGAGCACGCUGUGUCGGGAUGGGCCUCUGCUUAACACUUGGCCUGGCUGCUCCAGGAGGGGCCCAGGAGGAGGGGACACCUUCUCCCAAUGCACAGCUUUGGGGGCCCUCUGAAUCUCCAUGUUAAGGAUGCAGACUGGGUUUCCUAAGGACACCAGCCCAAGCCCCAGAGGAGUCCUUUAGAAGACAAGGACUUCUCUAGGCCCUCGGGUGAGUGGACCCACCGGAGUCAUCAUGAGUCUUAUAAACAGCCCUGCUACUGUGUCACUGCCACAUCCCUGUGCUUGACACAGGAAACACCAGGGGGACCCACUCUAAUGGACUUGGUUUUACAGGUCUGUUGGCUGAGGCUAAAAGGCUCACUUGGAGCCCUGGGGCAGAGCAGCAAAAUUUGCAAAUGCAGCCUAAAAAUCCUCCUCCAACCACCAGAAAAGAAAGGGGUAUGUUUCUUCCUUCAGCUGAAACCUGGCCUUGGAAGAGAUGGUUGCCACCCCCAUGCAGUUGCCCCUCUCCCUGCCUGCACCCCACUUUUCAUUCUAUACUCACAUUCCUCAAGUGCCUCUCCCCAGGCUGCAAGAGGGAUUCCUACUAGUGAACUCCAGGGAGCUUGGCCAUUUCCCUGCAGGUCUCUGGCUUGACAUGGUACUGACUGAUCAAAAGCCGAUGCCCAUCUGGCAGUUGCUUUAAGUCCUAUGUGUGGGGAGCUGGUUGCUGGUGCUGGCAUGUGCCAGGCAGUCCAUGAGUAGCCAUCUUGUCCUUCCCACUUCCCUGCUCCAGGGGCCAUCCCACUGUGUGGAUGAAGCAUAGGAAAGGCGUGGGGAGCCCUGAACUGUGGCCAGAUACCUCAGGAGAUUUCGGAAUCCAGGCUUCCUGAAUCUUCCCUUCAGUCUGAAAAAUACACGUGUCCCCUCAAAUUGCUAGCAGAGGGCAGAUCCUUGAAGAUGCUCGACCUCAGAUAGAGAUGAAGAAAAUAACCAAGAUGAGGUUCCUAAGAGUUAAGCAGCUCAGCCAAGGUCACACAAGUUCAAGUCCAAGGCUGGAAUUUCUAUAUAAGACCUCUGGCUCCCCAGUGAUGAUUGAGGCUUUUCCUCAAUCUUCCAACUGCUAAUAACUGAGACAGUUAUUUCCUUUCACUGUUCAAUGAAGCCUUCUACCAACUAUUAGCCUGUAUUGCUGCUGCCUGUAUGAAAUUUGGAAAGAACAACUGAUCUAUGGUUACUGAGGAAUUUCCAAUUUUGCUGCUUUAAAUAAGUGCUUAUACUCAGAAAUAAGAAUCACCCCUCACCCUGAUUUCUUCAUUUGUCACUUCUGUUUACAAAAGGGAUUCACACCUGCAAAUGGCUGUCAUGGUGGCAACUCUGGGUGAUAUGUUCUUUUGGGUGGGGCUCCUGUGCCCUAGAAAAGUUCAAGGAUACCUUUUGGCUAAAGCCGACAGUGGAAACAAUGUGAAGGAGGCACCCUACCUCCCAGCUUGAUGAGAUGGGUGGCUUUAUUCUCAUCGCCUUCUGCUGGGGAAGGGGCUGCUCAAGGGGCUAUUUGCUUCUUAGUUGUUCCCCACUGGAGGCAACAGACACCUCAGAAAUAACUCUGACCUGAAUGGGACGGGAAGCAGUCACUGGCUUAUCCCUCUGUUUCUGAGACUAGGUUUGCCUUGGAUACUUUGAAGUUCAUCUUUGAUGCUUGAAGAUUGAGGAAAUUACCAUUGCUCAUUGGUAAAAAGAGAAAAAAAGAUCCUGGACAUGGUGUGGUAACUAGAGAAAGUGGAAAGGAAGCUGAACAAGGAGUUGUCCUAUGUGACCUUGAACAAGCCAUUGUAGCUCUCUGGGCCUGAGUCCUCUCCUCUGGAAAGCCUAGGAGUUGGACAUGAUUUCUGAGGUCGAUUCCAGAUCGGAUAUCCCACAAGGCAAUGAGUUUUUGCUUUCUGGACCUCUCCCAUCUUCAGUCAGGUGUGAGAUCCUUGAUCCAAGGGAGAAAUGUUAAGAAAGAUAUUUUUGAGAUAAUUGUGGAAAUCUAUAGAUCUCAUAAUGGCAUUAUUGAUAAUUUUUCAGAUUUGAUAGUAGCAUUGUGGUUUUAUAAAAGAAAGUCCUUACUGCUAGGACAAACAUGCUGAGGUAUUAGUGUGAGUGACAUGAUGUUUGCAACUCACCUUCAAGUGACUUAGGGGAAAAAAAGUGAAUGUACCAGAAUGUUAGUGGUUCAUUAAUAAAGGUGGGGUGUAUCAAUUUUUUGUUAGCUAAUAACUCAACUUUUCUGUAGAUGAAAACUUUUAAAAUAAAAAGACAGGUCAAAAAGAGUA
This is a non-coding RNA of Ictidomys tridecemlineatus (thirteen-lined ground squirrel), 2655 nucleotides long. NCBI's taxonomy places the organism in Eukaryota, Metazoa, Chordata, Mammalia, Rodentia, Sciuridae. The record is from RefSeq and is a predicted model, not a curated record.